GACAGGAAAGGGGUUCUAUCCAUGAUCUUACAAUUCCUAAACAGCAACAGCAUCAUGGACGUAUUUGUUCCUGGCGUCAUAAGCCUGCAUACGGUAGGCAUUCAGUUAAUAGGUACUGAUUGGUCUAACAGAGGAAGCUGGGCUUGAUUAUAAAAUAAACUAGGCUAUGAAAUCAUGCCUCCUAAAAGCUCAUUAAAGGCAGCAACACGGGAUGGGGACUGUAAGGAAGUUGUCUCCCACCUGCCUCCCUCCUCAGACACACAUCAUUCCGCAGAUGUGAAAACGACCCAGACUCUGCCCGCAUGUGGCCUCCCGGACCGGGCAGUAGGGCCUUGCCCCUACCCUCAUGAAGACUGUCGGCUGUGUUACAGAACUGCUGCUCUGUCUCUGACUCCCCUCACUCCCAUGCUCUGUUGGAAACUCAAGUUGUGAAACCACAAAACACAGAAAGGAAGUGGUCAACUAUUGCACAUACUCAAGCUAUGUAGUCUCAGUUUAUUCCAUUCUUGCAGGAUCAUUGUAGGAAGGCAUAAGAGUCCUGCUUACUGGUGAGCCACUGAACACAAACUCCCUUCUCACCUCUGCCUUGGAUCCCGCCAUGCCUGAGGUCUAGGGCUAGAAGCGUUGUUUCAUCCACAUUAAUUCCGGUCUUGGGCAACGUGGCUAUUUUCUGACCUGUCUGUCUUCCCACCCUAGUGGUGAAUUCUCUUUCUGGGAUCUCAACUCCUUCUCCUGUCACCCAGCUUUUUCCGAGCAACCCCAGUCCAUCUGGCAUAUCAUUAGAAUGUUAAACCUAAAACGGUAAGCCAUUCUGUGAAUACCUUUAAGUAACAGGAUAUUAAAAUGAGACUUUUCCUGUUUUCUCAGUGCUAGCUGACAUCUUUGAGCUGAGAAAAAAAAAUAUUGUUAAAAAUGCUCAUCUAUUCUCAGGAGAUGUCAUCUGCUAAGGAGUGACCAAAAAAAUGGUCCAAUAACCCUGAAACCAUCGCUCAAAUCUUAGCUACGCAAGGGGAGACUUGUAAAUUAAUGAGGACGGCAAGGAUUUCAUGAGACAGAGCUUUCAGGCUGCUAAAAUGCUUCCUCCUCCCUUCUCAUGUGUUUUCCCCUCAUCUUACGCAAAUAAGAGGGGGCCUUCAGAGAAUUACUUGGAGAGCUGACCUAGGACCCCUAGGCUUUGGGGAACAUAGAAUGUAUUAGUGUCUAUUGCUGCUGAAACAAAUUAGCACACAUUUAACAGCUUAAAAAUAGCAAAAUUACUACCUCACAGUUCUGUAGGUUAGAAGUCCAGUGGGCGCGGCUGGUGUGUGGGCUUCAAGCCUCACAGGGCUGAAAUCAAGGUGUUGGCCAGGCUGUACUCCCUCCUAGAGGCUCUAAUGAAGCAUCUGUUUCCAGGCCUCUGCGCCUUGUUGGCGGAAUUCAGUUCAAUUUGCCUGAUGGACUGAGGUCCCUGCUUCCCUGCGGGCUGUCGGCGGGAACUGCCACUGGCUCCUUGCAGCCUCUCUCUGAUUCUUGCACAAGGGCACCUACAUCUCAGAGCCAGCGAGAGUGUGAGUGUGUGGAAUCCUUCUCACGAGGCCUCAUCUCUCUGACUUUCGUCGGGAAAUGUUCUCUGCUUUUAAAGGAUCAUGUAAUUAUUUUGAGCCUACCCGAUAAUCCAGGAUAAUCCCCUCAUCUAAAAAUCUGUUACCUUAACCACAUCUGCAAAGUCCCUGUUGCCGUGUAAUGUAAGCUAUUCACAGGUUCUGGGGAUUAGGAAAAGGACAUCUUUGGUGGGGGCCUUAUUCAGCCUACCACAUAGAGAUUAGUACCUGAAAAGCCAGCAGGUGAGAAGCUAGACAGAGCAGCCGGUGGCAGCUAAAGGAGAAAGGGGGCGAGAGCUGGAGAAGUCGCACUUCCGCCGAUGGCGCAGCAAAGGGGAUGUUGCCCUGGAGGACUCAGGGAACGGAACUGGGCUAUCAGCCGAGAAUGGGGCUCCACUCAAAAGGAGGAACCAACAGGAGACACAAGGAACCCCAGCAGGAAGAAGUCGGAGAUGGAGGAGGGGAAGUCAUAGCUGGAGGAGACGUGUGUUAGGAAGCUACAAUGGCAGCUCCCUAGUGGAGGUGUUUCGGAAAAACUCCGAAGAUUCCACUUGAGAAAAUCAUCGGCCUUCAGACAACGUCUAUGCCAGAUAAUGCUACCAAAUCACAACCUUGCCUUUCCUCCCUACUGCUGUUCUGAUGUGGGAGGACCCAAAGGCAGCAGAAGAGCCAAAGAAGAGUAGCAGAAAGGUUUAGGUGCAGUCAUCUUGGAUUUGAGUCGUGCUUGUGAAUUUUCAUGUGUUACAACAACCAGAUUAAAUUUCUUCAAGUGGAAAUAUUAAGUCAAAGAAAUUACCUAUUUCUAAUAAUUCUUACUGAAGAAGUGAAACCUAGCAGGAAGAAUUGUAUUUGCAUCAUUUGUAUGCAGCUAAGCAUUAUGUCAGGCCUCAAGGAUACAAAGAUCAAUGCAGUGUGAUUCCUGCCUUCAAGGGACCUAUCACUGUCUUGGAGAAGUAACGGUGAAAAUUAUAGUCAACAAACUACAUGACUGCUUUCCCUACUUCUGCCCUGUGGCCUUAGGACACUUAGGCAUAUCCACAGCUCUUCAAAUAAGCAAUGUGAUGUUAGCAAAAGUGCAGGGGCUCCUUGAGAACUUUCCAGGGCUAACCAGCUGCUGAGGAGUGGCCUCCAGGAAAGAGAGAAGCACUCUGAUUCAGGCAGUGAUUUACACCUAAAAUACCAACUCCAUCAUAUCUUCAGAACAAUUCUUCUAGACCUUGCAUCUAAAUAUGGAGUCAUUAACUAACAACGAACAAAACCUCUGGAUGGCCGAAGGACCUAGGCUAUACAGAAAGCUGUGAAUUACCAAUGAGAACGCAGAUUAGAUCAAAGAUGUCCCUAAGAAGCGUUGAGAUGUCACAAAGUUCUAGGAGGGGCAUGAUAAAGUAAGCAGAACACCGCAGUGGGCAUCAGAAUGCAUUCCAUUUCCAGACCUAUCUCUUACCAUCUGGAUAUCUCACUCUCAGGAAGAUCAAGUGACAAACCUGGAUUAGUCCAUUUUCACACUGCUACAAGGAACUACCUGAGACUGGGUAGUUUAUGAAGAAAAGAGGUUUAAU
This 3139-nucleotide long non-coding RNA is filed under the name Homo sapiens (human). RNAcentral's name for it is "HSALNT0373397". Lineage: Eukaryota; Metazoa; Chordata; Mammalia; Primates; Hominidae. The record is from RNAcentral.